CGCGGCCUAUCAGCUUGUUGGUGGGGUAACGGCCUACCAAGGCGACGACGGGUAGCCGGCCUGAGAGGGCGACCGGCCACACUGGGACUGAGACACGGCCCAGACUCCUACGGGAGGCAGCAGUGGGGAAUAUUGCACAAUGGGCGAAAGCCUGAUGCAGCGACGCCGCGUGAGGGAUGACGGCCUUCGGGUUGUAAACCUCUUUCAGCAGGGAAGAAGGCCUUCGGGUGGACGGUACCUGCAGAAGAAGCGCCGGCUAACUACGUGCCAGCAGCCGCGGUAAUACGUAGGGCGCAAGCGUUGUCCGGAAUUAUUGGGCGUAAAGAGCUCGUAGGCGGUUUGUCGCGUCUGGUGUGAAAUCCCGAGGCUCAACCUCGGGCUUGCAUCGGGUACGGGCAGACUAGAGUACUGUAGGGGAGACUGGAAUUCCUGGUGUAGCGGUGGAAUGCGCAGAUAUCAGGAGGAACACCGAUGGCGAAGGCAGGUCUCUGGGCAGUUACUGACGCUGAGGAGCGAAAGCAUGGGGAGCGAACAGGAUUAGAUACCCUGGUAGUCCAUGCCGUAAACGUUGGGCACUAGGUGUGGGGCUCAUUCCACGAGUUCCGUGCCGCAGCUAACGCAUUAAGUGCCCCGCCUGGGGAGUACGG
RNAcentral lists this ribosomal RNA (647 nucleotides) under uncultured Actinomycetes bacterium. RNAcentral's name for it is "bacterial SSU rRNA". It matches the Rfam family "Bacterial small subunit ribosomal RNA", at positions 232 to 885 of the family's 1533-position model. Lineage: Bacteria; Bacillati; Actinomycetota; Actinomycetes. The record is from RNAcentral.